Coturnix japonica (Japanese quail) is the source of this 1888-nucleotide non-coding RNA. The record is from RefSeq and is a predicted model, not a curated record. Lineage: Eukaryota; Metazoa; Chordata; Aves; Galliformes; Phasianidae.
GAGGAGCAUCACCAUGGCCUAUUUUUUGGGUGGCCCUGCGUGGAGCUAGGAGAUAGACUCAAUGAUCUCGUAAGGGUCCCUUCUAACUCAGGAUGUUUUAUGACUCUAUGUACUUCAUCCCAGAACUCAUCUUCCCUACUCAGACCAUAGAUGGGGACCUUGUGGUGAACAAGGCUUUUCUCAGAGCUCAGCUGGUGUCUGUGAAGGGUGGAGCUGCUGGUGUUCCCCUGCAGAAGCUGUCAGGCAGGCAUGGGGCCGGGAUGCAGCUCAACCCUGCGUCUGUUCUGGAGCCCUAUGAGUCAUACCCAUAGAUGGCUGUGCCAAAACCACAAGCAUGACACUGACCUUUAUAACAGCAUCAGAAACAGGGGAGGAAGAGCAGCAGAAGGGAGUUAGACCAGCAAAUGGAAGAAACACAGCGAACACCUCUGUUCUCUGCAACUUCACUCAUUAACAGUGAAGACACACUUAAAUGGCUGUUCCUGGGGGUUGGUUUGUUGUUUUGUUUUGUUGUGUUUUUCUCCUUUUUUAACAUCCCUAACAGGUAUUUUCUUCAUCGGUUUGCACCCUGGGUAAGCAAACUGGCAUUAACUGAGUGUCCCACAGAGCAUCUGAAUUUAACCCAUCUCUGAAUUAGGGAAUUCCCCAGCCCUGUGCACAGCACCUGCACUCCAUCCCAGGACGUGAUAAGCACAACUUUGUGCAAAUUAGUUCAACUUACAGAGCAGCCUGCUUAGGAAGAUCUGGUGAAGCUGCUGGGAGGCUUUGAAAUGCGUUCCUGAUACUUUGUAGACUGUUCAGCACUGGGGAAAAGGCUGCAUCUGAUAGCACAGACCUGCUUGAGAAACAGUCUGUGUUACCUUGACACUGGAACUUGGUGUUUGUUUUGUUGGUUUGGGUUGUGUGGGGUUUUUUUUUCAGUACAGAGGUCAAAGUUUUCAAGCAUGCUCGGCUGAGCUGCCUGGAAGCAAAUAAAUUGAUAGAAGACUGAGAUGUUUGGAUAAAGUUUGAAAUACUUCCCCACUGCCAAGCCACAGAGAGGUUCAGAUGGGAUCUGUGACCCUUGAGCUGGAGCCCUGGACAAUGUAUGGUUCAGGCAUGGGGAUGCCCUAGCAGUAGGAGCACAUUAGCUCUGAGACAGAUUGUUUAGCAUUUGGAGUGUAUGAAAAGUUUUGUUUCUUGUUUGCUACUUCCCAUAGGUUAAGGCAGAAAGCAAAAGCCAUGAUACCACCUUCCAAAUAUCCCAAGCUCCCCAUAGGUGGCUCCAGUGCCAGUUUGGUGGUAGUGAUUGCAGUGGGGCUGCCAGCUUCCCAGCACACAGACACUGAUUUGAGUGUCUUUCCUUCCUAAGCCCAGCUCUGGCUGUGCUGCUGCUGAAGCCUUAUCAGUUUGCAUGUGGUUCUUUCCCUUCCCUGCAGCAAACCCUGCUUGUUUUGGGCAGAAAUCAAGGCAUUGUGGGAUCCUGUGUCAUAGCAGGGGAAAAAAAUUGGGAUCCUGUCAUUAUCUUUUGGAUCAACAGGCAGGAUCCAGGCAGGAUUACACCUACAGCCAACGAUUCAGUCUAUCAGCUGGUGCAUGAAUACCCCUGUGAGCCUCCAGCUUCACUGACACAUAAGGUCCUGCCUUCGAUCAGGCUUUUGUGUUCUGAGUUCUGUUCUGACUUUUUGGUACCCCAGCCCUAAAAAAAAAAGCAACCAUGCCUGCUGGUUGCACAGCAGGGUGUGAGCAGGCUGUGUUUCUAGGGAUGCACAGAUGAACCAAAGUGAGGUUAGCCUAGAAGGUGAGGAAACUUUCUGCUGGUUCUGUGGUGCUGCUUUUUGGCUUUUAAAAUUCAACUUCCAAGCUGCAAUGUGAGGGAUACUAAAAAUGUCAGCGCGUGUGACACAGA